AACAGGAUUAGAUACCCUGGUAGUCCACGCCGUAAACGAUGUCGACUUGGAGGUUGUUCCCUUGAGGAGUGGCUUCCGGAGCUAACGCGUUAAGUCGACCGCCUGGGGAGUACGGCCGCAAGGUUAAAACUCAAAUGAAUUGAUGGGGGCCCGCACAAGCGGUGGAGCAUGUGGUUUAAUUCGAUGCAACGCGAAGAACCUUACCUACUCUUGACAUCCACGGAAUUUGGCAGAGAUGCCUUAGUGCCUUCGGGAACCGUGAGACAGGUGCUGCAUGGCUGUCGUCAGCUCGUGUUGUGAAAUGUUGGGUUAAGUCCCGCAACGAGCGCAACCCUUAUCCUUUGUUGCCAGCGAUUCGGUCGGGAACUCAAAGGAGACUGCCGGUGAUAAACCGGAGGAAGGUGGGGAUGACGUCAGGUCAUCAUGGCCCUUACGAGUAGGGCUACACACGUGCUACAAUGGCGCAUACAAAGAGAAGCGACCUCGCGAGAGCAAGCGGACCUCACAAAGUGCGUCGUAGUCCGGAUCGGAGUCUGCAACUCGACUCCGUGAAGUCGGAAUCGCUAGUAAUCGUGGAUCAGAAUGCCACGGUGAAUACGUUCCCGGGCCUUGUACACACCGCCCGUCACACCAUGGGAGUGGGUUGCAAAAGAAGUAGGUAGCUUAACCUUCGGGAGGGCGCUUACCACUUUGUGAUUCAUGACUGGGGUGAAGUCGUAACAAGGUAACC
Molecule: ribosomal RNA, 730 nt
Filed under: uncultured bacterium
Lineage: Bacteria
Description: bacterial SSU rRNA
Rfam family: Bacterial small subunit ribosomal RNA
Source: RNAcentral